Molecule: long non-coding RNA, 1079 nt
Filed under: Homo sapiens (human)
Lineage: Eukaryota; Metazoa; Chordata; Mammalia; Primates; Hominidae
Description: non-protein coding EGLN3-AS1:2
Source: RNAcentral
GGGAUGAUCAUCCUUUAGUGGCGGGAAGCUGGAAAAUGAGGGACUGUGGGCUGUGAGGAGAGAGAAAGAGGCUUGAGAAACCAGAAACCAUCAUUUGCAUCCAAGAAACUGUGCUCUCCAUGGCUUCCUCAAGAUGAGCAAACAAGAGUGAUACAGAUUUUUCUGAGAUGGACAGUGCCUCUCACUGACCCCGCCCCCAGUAUCCUACGACCAAGGAAAAGAAUCUCAUGUGUCAUUUCUGUGGGCCACGGUAGUUAAGGAAACUCCAUGUAUUUUCAUCUGGAGCCUCACAGCAACCCUGACAAGUGGCUAAGUGGGGACAAUGUGAAGCUCGGCUGCCCUUCCCCAAGGCCCUGGUCUUGACAGUCCUCAGGGGCUGGAGGCCCCCCUCAUCCAUGUCCCCACAAGAUUUCUGUCCAUGGCACCCAAGGACCCACUCAAAUGGUCUUGAAUGGACCUGAGGAAGACUGGCGAGUUAUUGGUUUUAUAAGCACAGUUGUGUCCGUUUACAUCUACCAGAAGGUACAGGGAUAUGGCGAGAGUGAGAAGACGUGACACCUGUUAAUACAAACUCUCCCCUUUAACUUGUCUUUCCAGAGAACACAGAAUGGGAGACACCGCUAAAACAGGCCACGUUAGCACUAGAACUGAUAAACUGAGAGCUAGGUUCUAGAUAGAAAAGUUACGAUGAAACAUCCUCAUCAUUGUCAACAGAUGAAUAUCUAAACCUCAGCUUUGAUGUCCUCUGCCAAAUGGAUUGGAUGAUGCCUGCCCUUGCCACUCCACGGGGUCUUUGGGGAUGAACUGAGCUACAAUGGCGAGGGAGCGGGUGGGAUACUAACUGGCCCUUCCCCUAGAUAGGAGGCCAUCAAGUGCAGAGCCAGAGACCGGCCCUGGGCCUCCGCAGGCUCCCCCGGAGCCAAAGAGAGGCCAAACCGAAGCGCCCUGCCCAAGGCCGCCCUAACGCGACUCUGGCCGCUCCUGCCUAGCAGAUACCGGCUGGUGCCCUCGCUUCGGAUGCAAGAUCCCAGCUCUGCUGCAGCUUUCGAGCCGGAGGGACAAUCGAAAUGAUCAAAAAU